GUGGGGAAUAUUGGACAAUGGGCGAAAGCCUGAUCCAGCAAUGCCGCGUGAGUGAUGAAGGCCUUAGGGUUGUAAAGCUCUUUUACCCGGGAUGAUAAUGACAGUACCGGGAGAAUAAGCUCCGGCUAACUCCGUGCCAGCAGCCGCGGUAAUACGGAGGGAGCUAGUGUUGUUCGGAAUUACUGGGCGUAAAGCGCACGUAGGCGGCUUUGUAAGUUAGAGGUGAAAGCCUGGAGCUUAACUCCAGAACUGCCUUUAAGACUGCAUCGCUUGAAUCCAGGAGAGGUGAGUGGAAGUCCGAGUGUAGAGGUGAAAUUCGUAGAUAUUCGGAAGAACACCAGUGGCGAAGGCGGCUCACUGGACUGGUAUUGACGCUGAGGUGCGAAAGCGUGGGGAGCAAACAGGAUUAGAUACCCUUGUAGUCC
RNAcentral lists this ribosomal RNA (425 nucleotides) under uncultured bacterium. Its description in RNAcentral is "partial 16S ribosomal RNA". It matches the Rfam family "Bacterial small subunit ribosomal RNA", at positions 354 to 796 of the family's 1533-position model. The record is from RNAcentral.